GAUCUACCAUCCAAAAUAAACCCAUGUACAUUUUGAAUACAACGAAUCGCUUCCUCCUCUUUUGAAUAGGUAAUAUAUCUGGAUGCAUGAGCAUUUAGUAAGAACAAUACUACUAAACUGUGAACAAAGGUAAUCAAAACAAUGUUACAAACCAAAUAACUCAAAAAAACCCUAUAAACCUGAAAAAUGGAAAAGGCAAAAACUAGAAAAGCAUAAUAUAAGGGAAGAGAAAUAAUAGCAAAAAAAUAUGCAAUUAAAUCGAAAACGUCGUUUCACACUUCAAAGGUAACACAAUUUUUUUGAUAAGUUAAAAAAUACCUAACUACACAAAGAACAUUCAUUACAAGAUUAGGGCUGUAAAUGAACCAGUCCAUAUGAUUGUUCGCCCAAUAUACACUUGGUUAAAUUCGAACCAAGCUUGACUCGUGAACAAAAAAAAAAAAAAAAAAUUGAUGGUGAAAGUAGAAACCCACUCGAUUAGUAAAUGAUACAUACUCGAUUAAGCUCGACUCGAAUAGAGCUCAUUCAUACGUUGUUAUAUAAUAUUCUUAUCUAGAUGUAUGUAUACCUAUUUAAUUUAAUAAUAUAGUAUAGUAACCUUUAUAAUUAAAUAUAUAGCAUAUAACCUAGUUACUUAUGCCUAGUCAUUUAUGCAUAUAUAUUGAAUGUAGCCUAUCGUUAUACGUUAGUUAAGUACUUAAGUAAUUAAAUAAAAGUAGCUACUUUUAUGUAUAAAAAUUAGUAUAGGUAGGACUUAGUAGUUUCAUAUAUGUUGUUGUAAGAACCAUAUAAGAAAUGUUGAUAUAUGUCGUUGCAUAUACACACCAUAUCACCAUUGCAAAACUAAAAUAUACAGAUUAUAUAUAUAUUACUAACAAGUAACUUAUGUAGACAUAUAAAAUAAGGUUAUUAGGGAUAAAUACCAACCAGUUACAUAUUGUAACGAAUAAAUUAUAUAAAAUGCUUAUAAUUAGUCUACAGUGUAGUUACAUAUUAUAGAAUUUUGUUUCUCUUUCAUCUAAUUUUUAUUAUUGUU
Juglans microcarpa x Juglans regia is the source of this 1036-nucleotide long non-coding RNA. RefSeq lists it as uncharacterized. The transcript is spliced from 3 exons. Lineage: Eukaryota; Viridiplantae; Streptophyta; Magnoliopsida; Fagales; Juglandaceae. The record is from RefSeq and is a predicted model, not a curated record.